This 84-nucleotide small nuclear RNA is filed under the name Myotis lucifugus (little brown bat). The record is from RNAcentral. Lineage: Eukaryota; Metazoa; Chordata; Mammalia; Chiroptera; Vespertilionidae.
GUGCUUGCUUCGGCAGCACAUAUAUUAAAAGUGGAACGAUACAGAGAAGAUUAGCAUGGCCCCUGCGCAAGGAUGAUACACAUA